AUACUUAACCAUCAGGGGAGAUACCAUGGUCACGAGGGUGGUUUUCCCAGGGUGAGGCUUAUCCAAUGCAUUCUGGAUGUGCUGACCUGACCGCUGCUGAUUUCCACAAAUGUGAGAAACUCAACUGCACAAUUUGUGGUAGUGGGGGACUGUGUUCAAGCUCUCUCCUG
Small nuclear RNA from Mesocricetus auratus (golden hamster), 170 nucleotides. Its record names the gene U1. It matches the Rfam family "U1 spliceosomal RNA". Rfam says of the family: U1 is a small nuclear RNA (snRNA) component of the spliceosome (involved in pre-mRNA splicing). NCBI's taxonomy places the organism in Eukaryota, Metazoa, Chordata, Mammalia, Rodentia, Cricetidae. The record is from Ensembl.